AGUCCAUGAUGUGGGGACUUCCGUAAAAAAUCGUACAAACGCUCCCACGCUUCAUGUAGAGGUUCACCCUCUUCUUGGGAAAACUCAAUAAUCAAUUGUCUCAUGGAGU
Small nucleolar RNA from Cornus florida, 109 nucleotides. The record is from RefSeq and is a predicted model, not a curated record. Lineage: Eukaryota; Viridiplantae; Streptophyta; Magnoliopsida; Cornales; Cornaceae.